This 1498-nucleotide unclassified non-coding RNA is filed under the name Hevea brasiliensis (rubber tree). Lineage: Eukaryota; Viridiplantae; Streptophyta; Magnoliopsida; Malpighiales; Euphorbiaceae. The record is from RNAcentral.
GAAAAGGACCGUGCUAAAAGCAAGGUAGGGUGCAUUGCCAAACUAAUUCUGUGUUUGCUUUAUUAGAAUGAAGUAGAUAACAAUGCCUUCCCAUCCAAUUUCUAUGUGCUUGUUUUCUAAAGAGCUUGAUUCUUGGUACUUGUUAAACAACAUGAAUGUCGGUAAUUUGUUAGCUUUCUUGUUCAUAUGAUUGCACGCAUGUUUGUACCAGAAACACAUAGGAAGUCAUGUUAUAGGACUUAUCAUUAAUCUUUUUCUUUGGGUGGGUGUUAUGUAAUUGGGAUAAAUUGAUACUGAUAUAUGAUUAUGGGUGGCUCUUUUAGAGUUCAUUUCCUCCAAAUAUUAUGAGGUCAAAGUUUAUUCUCUUCUCCCUAGUGUUCUUGUAGGGUUUUGGAGCUUUCAAUUGGGUUUCUUAAUCUAAUAUGCUUUCUUUUUUCUUCCAAUUGUUAAAACUGUAUGUGUAAUGGUGUUUCCUUAUCCUGCUUAUUUUAAGUGAGCCCCAGCAGGUCUUGGGCCAAUAAAUAGGUUUAGCUCCAAUUUCAUAAUCCCCCCAAAGCUUUUACCAAUACCCCGCACCACACCACCCCCCCUCCCCCACCCCCAAAGCUUUUACCAAUAUUCCUAUUCCCAUCACAUUGGAAUUUGAUUGCAGGAUCUCUAAUCAGGGAACUCAAGUUCACACUGUUGAGGUAUUUUCACAAAAGAAAAAUGAAAUAUUUACUUCUAAGCCUGUCUGUUAAAUGCUUCAAAUCUCCUAGACACAAGUCAUGGUUCUUAACAUGUUUAUUUUGAAUACUUGGGCUUUUUGUGUUGCCUUUAUCAUUUCAUGUUAAGCCUAUGAGUGCCAGACCAUAGGCAAAGUAUACAAUCCACAAAAUAAAAUUUGUUUUUUUCAGGCUUUCAGCCCAUAUUAAUUUUUGAGUUCAAAUAAUUUUACAAAUAUAUUAUGUUUAUCUUAUUUCAUAUUUUCCCUUUUACACUUGUCUGUUUUUCCCUUUUCUUUUCACUUCCAUGUAUCUAUAACAAGAGAGGGAGUUUUAAUUUUUAAAGGUUUAAUGGAGAUUUUGAUUCGUCUAAUUGUUCAACUGUGUGUGUGUGUGUGUGUAUUAUUUAGAAGAGGUUCGCUUGCUUUCAAAAUUGCUGAUCCUACAGUAGAAUCCUGUAGUCAUCUUAUCCUAUUCCUAUGGAUGCCUGAUUCCAAAGACGACAGGAUCACUUAGUGAGUGAUCUUAGGAAUGUACAACACUGGAUCAAGAUUGGGAUUAUGAACAACAAUUACGACAAAUUUAUUUAUGAACAACAACAAUCAAUGUUGUUAAAGGCGACAAAAGGUGCGAGGUGAGGCCCGGGCGAGGUGAGGCAAGCCCCUGUUGCUUUGCUUGGCUGAGUUGAGGCAACUUGAAGGAGGCACACGCCUGAGACUAUUGAGCUGAGGGGUGCGGGGUGACCAAGGCGAUGCCUGAUUGAAGAAAUGUCCACUUUCCUCUUUUUUUUUUUU